GAGGGCUGGCUUCCGUGAACCCCGCCGGCGAGGCGACGCGGAAGUGAGAUCAGAGCGCCGGAUACGCUCGUAGACAUCAUCUUUUACGCGAUUGCGGACGCGGGUUCGAUUCCCGCCGUCUCCACUG
RNAcentral lists this transfer-messenger RNA (127 nucleotides) under Actinomycetota bacterium. RNAcentral describes it as "partial transfer-messenger RNA". It matches the Rfam family "transfer-messenger RNA", at positions 236 to 374 of the family's 374-position model. Rfam says of the family: Bacterial tmRNA, also known as 10Sa RNA or SsrA, is named for its dual tRNA and mRNA-like properties. Lineage: Bacteria; Bacillati; Actinomycetota. The record is from RNAcentral.